RNAcentral lists this transfer RNA (76 nucleotides) under Alphaproteobacteria bacterium. RNAcentral describes it as "tRNA-Lys". It matches the Rfam family "tRNA". Rfam says of the family: Transfer RNA (tRNA) molecules are approximately 80 nucleotides in length. Their secondary structure includes four short double-helical elements and three loops (D, anti-codon, and T loops). RNAcentral also lists the same sequence under 1 other name. The record is from RNAcentral. Lineage: Bacteria; Pseudomonadati; Pseudomonadota; Alphaproteobacteria.
GGGCGCUUAGCUCAGUAGGUAGAGCAGCUGACUUUUAAUCAGCGGGUCGCAGGUUCGAAUCCUGCAGCGCCCACCA